UUAUAGUCCACCAUUUUCUCAACUAGUUCCAUUAAAAUGUUUUCGACAAUUGCUGUGCCUUCUAACCAAACAAAGCCUCAUCGUCGGGAAAUCUCCGGCGUGCCGGAGAGUGAGGUCCUCAGGAGAAGAAAUGAAGAGUUGGAGAAAGAAUUAAAUAAGAGCAUUGAGAGAGAAGAGAAAAUGAAGCAGGAAUUGCACAAAACAUGGGAAAGGCUGAGGGUGGCGGAGGAGGCUGAGGAGCGACUUUGCUCCCAGCUCGGUGAACUUGAGGCCGAGGCUGUAGAUCAGGCUCGGACUUACAGGACACAUGUCGUCCAGUUGAUGGAUCAACUCUCUCUGGCACAAAAACUUCUCGAAUCAGCUUCCGUUACCGCUCCCGUCCCAAUGAUUGUAGGAGAAAUUGGCAGCGCAUGCCUGUAACGUUAUGCACCUAAGCCUUGGCUAUUCCUUUUCAGUUUUCUGGUGUGUGGGUGUUUAAUUUCUUCAUCACUGAUUUUUUUUUAUUUUCCGAUUGAUAUAGAUGGCCCUUUGUUUUAUUCAUUUGAUGUUUGAGGAGUAUAUGGCUGUUGUGUAUUGGUGGCUCCAUGUAAAUGACGAGAUGUAAGAUUAGGAACUCAGAAUCGUGGUGUAUAGUAUGUUGACUUUUGUUUCUACUUUUCUUCGAGGUGUAAUGCUGAUUUUUUGUGUUCAUUUAGA
RNAcentral lists this long non-coding RNA (696 nucleotides) under Nicotiana benthamiana. RNAcentral describes it as "long non-coding RNA (NBEN_LNC028141)". The record is from RNAcentral. Lineage: Eukaryota; Viridiplantae; Streptophyta; Magnoliopsida; Solanales; Solanaceae.